AUUGAACGCUGGCGGCAUGCCUUACACAUGCAAGUCGAACGGCAGCACGGACUUCGGUCUGGUGGCGAGUGGCGAACGGGUGAGUAAUGUAUCGGAACGUACCUUUCAGUGGGGGAUAACGUAGCGAAAGUUACGCUAAUACCGCAUAUUCUGUGAGCAGGAAAGCAGGGGAUCGAAAGACAUUGCGCUGAUUGAUCGGCCGAUAUCAGAUUAGCUAGUUGGUGGGGUAAAGGCCUACCAAGGCGACGAUCCGUAGCGGGUCUGAGAGGAUGAUCCGCCACACUGGAACUGAGACACGGUCCAGACUCCUACGGGAGGCAGCAGUGGGGAAUUUUGGACAAUGGGGGCAACCCUGAUCCAGCCAUGCCGCGUGAGUGAAGAAGGCCUUCGGGUUGUAAAGCUCUUUCGGCAGGGAAGAAAUAGCAUAGGCUAAUACCCUGUGUGGAUGACGGUACCGGAAGAAGAAGCACCGGCUAACUACGUG
RNAcentral lists this ribosomal RNA (484 nucleotides) under uncultured bacterium. RNAcentral's name for it is "partial 16S ribosomal RNA". It matches the Rfam family "Bacterial small subunit ribosomal RNA", at positions 30 to 507 of the family's 1533-position model. The record is from RNAcentral.